CAUUUUUCUGUACGAUUUUAUUUGUUGGUGAGUACACAUACCUAUUAUAUAUUUACAAUACCGAGUACUUAUAUUUUAUUCUAUAAUGUACAUUAUUAUGUUUUUUUUAUCUUUAUGUUUGCAGUCUUCACUUCAGUUUCACGAAAACAAAACCAAAAAUCAAAAAUGGGCGCUGAAAAGGUAACCAUGAACAUCGUUGUCGUCGGACUUGUCCAAUCCGCCAAGGCCCCCAAGACCGUCGCCAAGGCCGCCCCAGCCACCAACCAAUUAAUGGUGAGUGUACACUGUUAAAAAACUACUACUAAUUAUUAGCAGUUAACCGCUUAUUAAAUUUAUAUAAGUCGUAAUUUAUUUUUCCAUAAAGCGAUACUAAUAUGAUUUUUACAUUAAAAAAAAAAAAAAUGACUUAUUGCAAAAAUACGAAUACAAUGAGUAUAAUGCACUUUAUAUUAGAGAAUAUAUCCUGGAUAUAUUAUUCGUUUACAAAUCGAGUACUGAGUAUUGGUGGAGAAAUAAUUUACAAAGGUACAUACCAGUACCGGCUAAUAGUUUUUAAUUUACGAUAAAAAAAAAAGUACUUAGGUAUAGCCACUAUGCGUAAUCAAUAAAAUAAAUAUAAAUCAAUUUCGCUAAGUAAAAAUUAAAUGUGAAUAACAAACAAUAUAAUUUUAACAUAAUAUUUAAUAUUAUUAUUAAUAUAAUAUAAUUAUUCUUUUGAUUUUUUAAAGAACGAAUUAGGUACGUUAUUAAAAUGAAAACGAAAUCCUUUUAAAUUCGUUUACUUUUUUCUUUUUAGUACAAUAAUUAAAAUCUGUUCUGCCUUCUCUCAAUUAAGUCUGCUUCUUUCCACUUUAUAAACUAAUCCGGUUUUGAGAUGAACCGAUACCCAGUGAAAAUAUACACACGAAUACUCGAUGCAGGAGCAGAUUUUUUUUUUUUUGUCAAUUACAGACACGUAUUUUUUAUUUCGUUAAUUUUAAUAUCGGUAUCAAAUAAUGGCCGAGUAAUAAUUUAAAUACAUACAGGGUAUUGGUCGAGUAUUGAAUAAUUAUUGGGUUAUUACUCGAUGGCCGAAUACUCUGAAUAUCAUCAGACAUGACUAAUUUAUAGUGAAUUUUGUCUUUAUUAAAAUAUUCUAAUACACUGCGUUUGAUUUUCCCCGAGUUCUCUAUUUGUCCAGUAUAAAAUUAUAAUAUUUUGAACGAGAGUAAUGUAUCAUACAUUUUCCAAUGAUUUAGUUUUUAAUUUGUAUUCACAUUACAUAUACCUACUCAAUAUUAAUCGUAUAAUUUGUGUUUUAAGAAUAUUGCAACCGCCUAAUCUAUACCUACUUACCUCAAACAGGUGUAUUUAUUUGUCGUUUUCUCUUGUUUGUUUCAGUCCUGUUAAACUCACGUAGUCCAAACAUCGCAACCUCAAAAAUGCCAUAGUCCAAAACAAUACAAAUUACAUAAAUUAUUAUCAAUUAAUAUUAUGUAUAUUAUGUGUUGACAUCUCAAAAUAAACCACAUCUUAUCCGUCAU
RNAcentral lists this long non-coding RNA (1523 nucleotides) under Cinara cedri. The record is from RNAcentral. Lineage: Eukaryota; Metazoa; Arthropoda; Insecta; Hemiptera; Aphididae.